RNAcentral lists this small RNA (559 nucleotides) under Pongo abelii (Sumatran orangutan). RNAcentral describes it as "retained intron". The record is from RNAcentral. Lineage: Eukaryota; Metazoa; Chordata; Mammalia; Primates; Hominidae.
AUACGAAUCUAGCCCUGGAACCGAGUUGCGGGAGUGCGGUUUGUGUGGUUCCGGCCAGGAGUUUGCCGACUGCAGACGUCCUGCGAACCGGCAAAAUGUGCUCCCUGGGGUUGUUCCCUCCUCCACCGCCUCGGGGUCAAGUCACCCUAUAUGAGCACAAUAACGAGCUGGUGACGGGCAGUAGCUAUGAGAGCCCGCCCCCCGACUUCCGGGGCCAGUGGAUCAAUCUUCCUGUCCUACACCUGACCAAGGAUCCCCUAAAGACCCCUGGAAGGCUGGACCAUGGCACAAGAACUGCCUUCAUCCAUCACCGGGAGCAAGUGUGGAAGAGAUGCAUCAACAUUUGGCGUGAUGUGGGCCUUUUUGGGGUGCUAAAUGAAAUUGCAAACUCAGAAGAAGAGGGUAAGUAUUUUUCCCUCCAGCCUUGCCUAGUUUUGUGGUUAUCUCCCCUCCAUAUUCUUGAACUCACCCCGACACCUGUUGGCUCAGCCUCUUUUAGCCCUAUUUUUCCUGUCCUCUCCUCUACCUACCCAAAUAGCCCAGAGUGGGUGUCCAGAGU